Molecule: ribosomal RNA, 252 nt
Filed under: uncultured bacterium
Lineage: Bacteria
Description: partial 16S ribosomal RNA
Rfam family: Bacterial small subunit ribosomal RNA
Source: RNAcentral
UACGUAGGGGGCGAGCGUUGUCCGGAGUUACUGGGCGUAAAGCGCACGCAGGCGGUCGUGUAAGUUUGGAGUGACAAUCCUCGGCUUAACUGAGGAGGGCCUUUGAAGACUGCACGACUUGAGGGCUCACGAGGGACACGGAAUUCCGGGUGGAGUGGUGAAAUGCGUAGAGAUCCGGAGGAACACCAAAGGCGAAGGCAGUGUCCUGGUGAGCACCUGACGCUGAGGUGCGAAAGCUAGGGGAGCGAACGG